This 164-nucleotide small nuclear RNA is filed under the name Dasypus novemcinctus (nine-banded armadillo). Its description in RNAcentral is "U1 spliceosomal RNA (ENSDNOG00000037573.1)". It matches the Rfam family "U1 spliceosomal RNA". From Rfam's summary of the family: U1 is a small nuclear RNA (snRNA) component of the spliceosome (involved in pre-mRNA splicing). Its 5' end forms complementary base pairs with the 5' splice junction, thus defining the 5' donor site of an intron. Lineage: Eukaryota; Metazoa; Chordata; Mammalia; Cingulata; Dasypodidae. The record is from RNAcentral.
AUACUUACCUGGCAGGGGAGAUACCAUAAUUAAGUAGUUGGUUUUCCCAGGGUGAGGCUGAUCCAUUGCACUGGGGAUAUGCUGACCCCUACAAUUUCCCUACAUGGGUGAAACUCGACUGCAUAAUUUGUGUUGGUGGGGAAUUGCAUUGGUGUUUUCCCAAC